CUCUGCCCGCCGUCCCCUGUGAGCCAGUGAAGCUGGACUAAGCACAGAGGAGGAAAAGAGGGGACAAAAUCAUGAAACACGGUUGCUGGUUCGAUAAGAGGAAAACAUUUACAAGGCACCUGAGAUGCUGAGAAACCUGCACGCCAGAAAGUUCAUGCGAAUGGACACACCCAUCAGUAAGGACCCUCCAUACUGUUCUCCAAUGUGGCUGCACCAGCUUACACUCCCACCAGCAGAGCGGGAGGGCGCCCUUCUCCCCACACGCUCUCCAGCACGUGUUAUCUGUAGGCUUCCCGAUGGCGUCAACCUCACAGGCGUGAGGUGGUGGUUCAGUGUUGAUUUGCUUUUCCCUGGUGGUCAGUGAUG
This is a long non-coding RNA of Camelus dromedarius (Arabian camel), 366 nucleotides long. RefSeq lists it as uncharacterized. Lineage: Eukaryota; Metazoa; Chordata; Mammalia; Artiodactyla; Camelidae. The transcript is spliced from 3 exons. The record is from RefSeq and is a predicted model, not a curated record.